Molecule: non-coding RNA, 53 nt
Filed under: unclassified sequences
Description: S15-Flavobacteria ribosomal protein leader
Rfam family: S15-Flavobacteria ribosomal protein leader
Source: RNAcentral
UAUCUUUGCCCCCGAUUUAAAAUACAUAAUAAUCAUUAAAUAAUAUUGGAAUG